RNAcentral lists this ribosomal RNA (253 nucleotides) under uncultured bacterium. RNAcentral describes it as "partial 16S ribosomal RNA". It matches the Rfam family "Bacterial small subunit ribosomal RNA", at positions 524 to 776 of the family's 1533-position model. The record is from RNAcentral.
UACGUAGAGUGCGAGCGUUAAUCGGAAUUACUGGGCGUAAAGUGUGCGCAGGCGGUUGAGCAAGUCGAGUGUGAAAGCCCCGGGCUUAACUUGGGAAUUGCGCUCGAAACUACUUGACUGGAGUGUGGCAGAGGAAGGUGGAAUUCCACGUGUAGCGGUGAAAUGCGUAGAGAUGUGGAGGAACACCAAUGGCGAAGGCAGCCUUCUGGGCCAACACUGACGCUCAUGCACGAAAGCGUGGGGAGCAAACAGG